This 784-nucleotide long non-coding RNA is filed under the name Malus domestica (apple). RNAcentral's name for it is "long non-coding RNA (MDOM_LNC006293)". The record is from RNAcentral. Lineage: Eukaryota; Viridiplantae; Streptophyta; Magnoliopsida; Rosales; Rosaceae.
AAGUUUUGCAUUAAAUAAACAUCGAAUUAUUUAAUCCGGCCCCACCAUUUUAAUACCCUCCCACCGGCUAUCCUUUCCAAAACCUUGGUAUUAUUAGUCGGACUCAGCCAAAGAAAAAUCACGCCCACUUUUCUCUAACCUAUCCCGACGUCUGCUUUGCUCUUGGGCAUCGAGACCUCCGAUCAACACUAAGUAGAUACGAACAAAGAUCCAGAGAUAUGAGAUCGAACUAUCCACACCAAGCUGAUACGAAUAGAGAACGAAAGGUAGCAGAUCGAACCCAGGGCAUCGUGACCUUCGUUCCUGGGCAUGGCCACCUCCAUUCUUGGGCAUCACGACCUCCGUUCCUGGGAAUUGCGAUUUCCGUUUCUGUUCUGACAUCUAUGGUGGCGGUUCGAAUAUCUGGGUUUGUGGCUUAAUUGCCAAUUGAUUUUGUUGAUGUGAGGGAAUUAAAUUCAAAAUUGGGAGAGAUUUCAUGUGUGUAAGGUGUAAUGGUUGCUGGGUUUUCAAGUAUUUCUGAUGUGGAUUAAGGUCUCAAUGGAUUAGAGACCAUAAGGGAUACGAGGAAGCCAACGGUGGCGGUACCACCGACUGGGUUUUUUUUUUUUGCAGUUGACAACUUUGUUAUGCAUCUCCAACUUGAUGGCAGAUGACAACUUUGUUUUUUUAUUCUUGUUUUUUUAUUUUAGUUAAGGGUUUUUCAUUAACAUCCCAUAUAAUAAUUUAAUAUUAAAUUGCUCAUAAAAUGACUAUUUAAGCCUUAAAAUGUUCUAAAAAUUAAAAA